UGCAAGUCUCAGCAGCUGCCCAGUGGUGGGAGAUGGAGAAAAGUAAAAACAAGCAGCCAUGCACUUUGAGUUGGGGGAUCCAACAUGUUCAACAAUAGAGGUCUCCAGUUCAAGCAUGUGUGGUUGGUUACCCCCGAGGCAGCUGCACAACUAUUGUACCAAUGGACACAUCUUGCCUGUAUUUUCAUGCAGUCCAGGCUGGCAAAGAACUAGCACUUCUCUUGCUGCUUCCUCCCACACAUCAAGAUUCCACCGUGACCAGCUCCCCAGACCUGUUCUUCACAGAUGAGAGCUGAGACUUCUCUGAG
Molecule: long non-coding RNA, 308 nt
Filed under: Cricetulus griseus (Chinese hamster)
Lineage: Eukaryota; Metazoa; Chordata; Mammalia; Rodentia; Cricetidae
Description: lncRNA (ENSCGRG00015039071.1)
Source: RNAcentral